Molecule: non-coding RNA, 75 nt
Organism: Streptomyces sp. SolWspMP-5a-2
Lineage: Bacteria; Bacillati; Actinomycetota; Actinomycetes; Kitasatosporales; Streptomycetaceae
Source: Rfam
CUUGAUGGAGCCCAGGUGCAGCGGCUGUUCGGCGGGGCGGUCCUGGCCGUAGGUGGCCAACAGCGCCUGCGCCUC